AAAGUAGACGGCGUGAUUCUAUACGAGUCCAACGAACGCUCUCGUGCGCCUAGCGCGUGCGUUUGCGAUCUGGAGAGUCCGCCGAUCCUCCGUAAUUACUCGAGACGGCGCUUCACGCGCGCCCUCGAGGUGUGCACUCGUAGUUUGUUGGCGAUCGCGUGUGUUCUUAACGGUUCGCGCGUGUGUCGUCCGCUGCUACGCGUCCCCUCUUGGUGCGUCGCGAGUCGAUUGCCUAUCGAGUACAUGCGUAGGAAGUUUUCUUCUUAGAGGUAUUGACGACUCACGUUCAAAGUCGUAAGAGACAAAGAGCAAUAACAGGUCUGUGAUGCCCUUAGAUGUCCUGGGCCGCACGCGAGCUACAAUGCCGGGUACAACGGGUAUCGUUUCCUUCUCCGAAAGGAGUGGGUAACCCUUUGAACACCCUUCUUAUUUCGACGAUCGACGUCGCGAUUCGCUCAACGGCGUUUCGCACGCUCGCCAUCGUCUGGCUCGC
Molecule: ribosomal RNA, 493 nt
Filed under: Anamixis vanga
Lineage: Eukaryota; Metazoa; Arthropoda; Malacostraca; Amphipoda; Leucothoidae
Description: partial 18S ribosomal RNA
Rfam family: Eukaryotic small subunit ribosomal RNA
Source: RNAcentral